RNAcentral lists this unclassified non-coding RNA (300 nucleotides) under Hevea brasiliensis (rubber tree). Lineage: Eukaryota; Viridiplantae; Streptophyta; Magnoliopsida; Malpighiales; Euphorbiaceae. The record is from RNAcentral.
CGCCGCCAUGACCACCGCGCGCGACGGCAUCGAGCGGGGCAAACGCAACAAUUGCCGCAACCGCAGCAACACCGAUCAUCAGUUUUCUGAACAUGGCUCACUCCUACCCGAGCGCGCCCCUAACCGAUAACGCNNNUUCCAUGAACGGCGAUAAAAUUUUACGGAGAUGAGGCGCUGGCCGGGGACGCCGAUGAACCGUUCAUCAAUGAGGCAUCAUCCGGCAGGCCGUAGACACGUUCAGGCGCGGCAAAGCCCGCGACCGAAAACAGGCCAAGAUCAGUCCAUCCCGCAUCGACAUGG